Molecule: long non-coding RNA, 564 nt
Organism: Capsicum annuum
Lineage: Eukaryota; Viridiplantae; Streptophyta; Magnoliopsida; Solanales; Solanaceae
Exons: 2
Source: RefSeq, a predicted model, not a curated record
UAUUAACACAAGUCCCUUCUCUUUCUCGUUUGACCAGUAAGUAAAGUGUACAUUCAAUAAAUGCAAGACAUUAUAGAAUCUUUCCUUAUACCUUUGCUCCUGCUCCUGUAUGCAGUGACAAUGACACAUUUGGCCAUGAAAAGGCAAUCCUCCCCAAUUCUUGCGGACUCUGGAGCUAAUGAGGAGGUGGCGUUGAACAAAAGGGCAAAAGGGAAACAAGCAAUAGAAAGAUAAAGGACUGUGUUCUGUCCCCGAAACAUGAUCCGUUCCAGUUCCCUUUAGCUUUUUAUAUUACAAUGGGACAACUGCCUCAACUUCUCUUCUGUCAUUUACUUAAAGGCUUAAGUCGCACAUAGUACAUUUGUAUUGCCUUCAGUACCUACCAUAAACUGCUACCCACUUCUCCUUUGAUUCCCUUCUUUGUUUUGAGUAUAUUCUUUCUUCUUGAGUUUACCUGGUGAUUUGUUACCACGGUGGUUUUGUCAGCCAUUGUCGUUUUUCUGUACAUAUGAGGUUGAAUAUGUUUCUGCUUUCUCUUUUUUAAUCACAGGAUGAAUUUGUUUU